CCUACGGGUGGCUGCAGUGGGGAAUAUUGCACAAUGGGGGAAACCCUGAUGCAGCAACGCCGCGUGAGUGAUGACGGCCUUCGGUUUGUAAAGCUCUAUCUGCAGGGACGAUAAUGACGGUACCUGAGGAGGAAGCCACGGCUAACUACGUGCCAGCAGCCGCGGUAAUACGUAGGGGGCGAGCGUUGUCCGGAUUUACUGGGCGUAAAGGGAGCGUAGGCGGACGUGUAAGUGAGAUGUGAAAUACUAGGGCUUAACUUGGGUGCUGCAUUUCAAACUGGAAGUCUAGAGUGCAGGAGAGGAGAAUGGAAUUCCUAGUGUAGCGGUGAAAUGCAUAGAUAUCACGCAGAACUCCGAUUGCGAAGGCAGUAUACCGGCGCCUUACUGACGUUGAGGCACGAAAGCGUGGGUAUCGAACAGGAUUAGAUACCCCUGUAGUC
RNAcentral lists this ribosomal RNA (440 nucleotides) under uncultured bacterium. RNAcentral's name for it is "partial 16S ribosomal RNA". It matches the Rfam family "Bacterial small subunit ribosomal RNA", at positions 338 to 795 of the family's 1533-position model. The record is from RNAcentral.